RNAcentral lists this ribosomal RNA (198 nucleotides) under uncultured bacterium. RNAcentral describes it as "partial 16S ribosomal RNA". It matches the Rfam family "Bacterial small subunit ribosomal RNA", at positions 328 to 539 of the family's 1533-position model. The record is from RNAcentral.
ACGCUCGACACCUACGGGNGGCAGCAGUGGGGAAUAUUGCACAAUGGGGGAAACCCUGAUGCAGCGACGCCGCGUGGAGGAAGAAGGUCUUCGGAUUGUAAACUCCUGUUGUUGGGGAAAAAGAGGAUGGUACCCAACAAGGAAGUGACGGCUAACUACGUGUCAGCAGCCGCGGUAAUCUGAGCGGGCUGGCAAGGC